AUGACUAGGGAUAACCUUAGAAAGAGACACAUCAUCAAGCCCCUUGAUUGUGUUUACUGCUUGGAACAAGAGUCUUGUUCUCACCUAUUUUUUGAAUGUAUAGUUGCUAAACAUCUCUGGGCCCACAUUGAGGAAUAUUUCUCUAGUCAGAUUGGCUCAUCCUUCGAAUCUGUCGCCAGAUUCUGGAUUGCUACCAAAAAGUGCUCAGUUUUAAACCCUGUUAGCUCAGUUGUCCUUUGGUGCCUCUGGAAAUAUAGAAAUGCUAUGAUUUUCAGUAACACCUCCUGGAUUUCCAUUCCGCAGGUCUUAAGGUUGAUCAGGAACAUGGUGAGGAACUGGGAGAUUCUCUCCUCCCGAUCGGACAAGGACAAGUAGAUGAGCUUCGUGGAAACCCUAACAAGAUCCCUCCAGAAACCGUUGGCGAUCACUUGUGGCUGA
This 438-nucleotide ribosomal RNA is filed under the name Triticum aestivum (bread wheat). RNAcentral's name for it is "partial small subunit ribosomal RNA". The record is from RNAcentral. Lineage: Eukaryota; Viridiplantae; Streptophyta; Magnoliopsida; Poales; Poaceae.